GAUGAACGCUGGCGGCGUGCCUAAUACAUGCAAGUCGAGCGAACAGACGCGGAUCUUGCUCCUCUGACGUUAGCCGCGGCCGGGUGAGUCACACGUGGAUCCCCUCCCUAUCAGACUGGGAUAUCUUCGGGACACCGGAUCUAAUACCGGAUAAUCUCUUGCUCCGCAUGGUUCCAUAGUGAAAGCCGGUUUUGCUGUCUCUUCUCGCUGGUUCCGCGCCGCUUUAGCUAGUUGGUAAGGUAACGGCUUACCAAGGCACCGAUGCGUAGCCGACGUGACAGGGUGAUCGGCCACACUAGAACUGAGACAGGGACCAGACUCCUACGGGAGGCAGCAGUAGGGAAUGUGCCGCAAUGGGGGAAAGCCUGACGGAGCAACGCCGCGUGAGUGGUGAAGGUCUUGGGAGCGUAAAACUGUGUUAUUAGGGAAGAACAAAUGUGUAAGGAAAUAUGCACGGAUUGACGGUAGCGAAUCAAAAAGCAACGGCUAACUACGUG
This 497-nucleotide ribosomal RNA is filed under the name uncultured bacterium. RNAcentral describes it as "partial 16S ribosomal RNA". It matches the Rfam family "Bacterial small subunit ribosomal RNA", at positions 28 to 507 of the family's 1533-position model. The record is from RNAcentral.